CCGGAACUCCUGGAAAAGCACAUCACCGCGGCGGAGAUCGACACAUUCGUCAGCCUGGUGCGAAAGAACAGGGAGCCCAGGUUCCUGGAUUACCUCUCCGACCUCUGUGUGUCCAUGAACAAGUCCAUCCCGGUGACUCAGGAGCUCAUUUGUAAAGCUGUGCUGAAUCCCACCAAUGCUGACAUCCUGAUUGAGACCAAGUUGGUUCUUUCUCGCUUUGAGUUUGAAGGCGUUGCCACUGGAGAGAAUGCUCUGGAAGCUGGAGAGGACGAGGAAGAGGUGUGGCUGUUC
Peromyscus leucopus (white-footed mouse) is the source of this 291-nucleotide long non-coding RNA. RefSeq lists it as uncharacterized. NCBI's taxonomy places the organism in Eukaryota, Metazoa, Chordata, Mammalia, Rodentia, Cricetidae. The transcript is spliced from 3 exons. The record is from RefSeq and is a predicted model, not a curated record.